This 401-nucleotide ribosomal RNA is filed under the name Halopelagius inordinatus. RNAcentral describes it as "Archaeal small subunit ribosomal RNA". It matches the Rfam family "Archaeal small subunit ribosomal RNA", at positions 1 to 403 of the family's 1478-position model. Lineage: Archaea; Methanobacteriati; Methanobacteriota; Halobacteria; Halobacteriales; Haloferacaceae. The record is from Rfam by way of RNAcentral.
AUUCCGGUUGAUCCUGCCGGAGGUCAUUGCUAUCGGAGUCCGAUUUAGCCAUGCUAGUCGUGCGAGUUCAGACUCGCGGCAUAUAGCUCAGUAACACGUGGUCAAGCUACCCUACAGAGAACGAUAUCCUCGGGAAACUGAGGCCAAUAGUUCAUAAGGUUCCCAAGCUGGAGUGCCGGGAACUGGAAACGUUCCGACGCUGUAGGAUGCGGCUGCGGUCGAUUAGGUAGACGGUGGGGUAACGGCCCACCGUGCCGAUAAUCGGUACGGGUUGUGAGAGCAAGAGCCCGGAGACGGAAUCUGAGACAAGAUUCCGGGCCCUACGGGGCGCAGCAGGCGCGAAACCUUUACACUGCACGCAAGUGCGAUAAGGGGACUCCGAAUGCGAGGGCAUAUAGUCC